AACCCGUGUGGGGCAGCCGUAGCGAAAGCGAGUCUGAAUAGGGCGUGUGAGUGGCGUGAUCUAGACCCGAAGCGAAGUGAUCUACCCAUGGCCAGGUUGAAGCGACGGUAAGACGUCGUGGAGGACCGAACCCACUUCAGUUGAAAAUGGAGGGGAUGAGCUGUGGGUAGGGGUGAAAGGCCAAUCAAACUUCGUGAUAGCUGGUUCUCCCCGAAAUGCAUUUAGGUGCAGCGUUGCGUGUUUCUUGCUGGAGGUAGAGCUACUGGAUGGCUAAUGGGCCCUACAAGGUUACUGACGUCAGCCAAACUCCGAAUGCCGGUAAGUGAGAGCGCAGCAGUGAGACUGUGGGGGAUAAGCUUCAUAGUCGAGAGGGAAACAGCCCAGACCACCAACUAAGGCCCCUAAGCGUGUGCUAAGUGGGAAAGGAUGUGGAGUUGCCCAGACAACCAGGAGGUUGGCUUAGAAGCAGCCACCCUUAAAAGAGUGCGUAAUAGCUCACUGGUCAAGUGAUUCCGCGCCGACAAUGUAGCGGGGCUCAAGUACACCGCCGAAGUUGUGGCAUUCACAUUUUAGCUAAGCCCUUGUGGUUCAGGCGUGUGGAUGGGUAGGGGAGCGUCGUGUGGGCGGUGAAGUCGCGGUGUAAACCAGCGGUGGAGCCUACACGAGUGAGAAUGCAGGCAUGAGUAGCGAAAGACGGGUGAGAAACCCGUCCGCCGAAUGAUCAAGGGUUCCAGGGUCAAGCUAAUCUGCCCUGGGUAAGUCGGGACCUAAGGCGAGGCCGACAGGCGUAGUCGAUGGACAACGGGUUGAUAUUCCCGUACCGGCGAAAAACCGCCCAUGCUGAGCGGGGGAUACUAACUGCCCGAAGCCUGCCCGAGCGCCCUUGUGGUGUGAGGGUUUUGGUGGAGCGCAGGACCUGAUCCCGGGAGGCAAGCGUAUUAACAGGUGUGACGCAGGAAGGUAGCCGAGCCGGGCGAUGGUUGUCCCGGUCUAAGGAUGUAGGGCGAGUGGUAGGCAAAUCCGCCACUCAUGGUGCCUGAGAUCUGAUGGGACCCCCGUUUGGGGGGAUUUGGUGAUCCUAUGCUGCCGAGAAAAGCAUCGACGCGAGGUUUUAGCCGCCCGUACCCCAAACCGACACAGGUGAUCAGGUAGAGAAUACCAAGGCGAUCGAGAGAAUUAUGGUUAAGGAACUCGGCAAAAUGCCCCCGUAACUUCGGGAGAAGGGGGGCCCCAACCUUGAUACACCCUUUGCGGUGUGGAGGGGAUCGGGGCCGCAGAGACCAGGGGGAAGCGACUGUUUACUAAAAACACAGGUCCGUGCGAAGUCGCAAGACGAUGUAUACGGACUGACUCCUGCCCGGUGCUGGAAGGUUAAGAGGACCGGUUAGCCGCAAGGCGAAGCUGAGAAUUUAAGCCCCAGUAAACGGCGGUGGUAACUAUAACCAUCCUAAGGUAGCGAAAUUCCUUGUCGGGUAAGUUCCGACCUGCACGAAUGGAGUAACGACUUCCCCGCUGUCUCAACCAUAAACUCGGCGAAAUUGCAGUACGAGUAAAGAUGCUCGUUACGCGCAGCAGGACGGAAAGACCCCGAGACCUUUACUAUAGUUUGGUAUUGGUGUUCGGAGUGGCUU
This 1631-nucleotide ribosomal RNA is filed under the name Arthrobacter sp. 162MFSha1.1. RNAcentral describes it as "bacterial LSU rRNA". It matches the Rfam family "Bacterial large subunit ribosomal RNA", at positions 648 to 2135 of the family's 2925-position model. Lineage: Bacteria; Bacillati; Actinomycetota; Actinomycetes; Micrococcales; Micrococcaceae. The record is from RNAcentral.